This 24-nucleotide non-coding RNA is filed under the name Arabidopsis thaliana (thale cress). Lineage: Eukaryota; Viridiplantae; Streptophyta; Magnoliopsida; Brassicales; Brassicaceae. The record is from RNAcentral.
UGGUGUCUUGGUCCUGUGCUCAGU